GGGGUUGUGGCUCAGAGGUAGAGUGCUCGCCUAGCAUGCGUGAGGCACUGGGUUCAAUCCUCAGCACUGCA
RNAcentral lists this transfer RNA (71 nucleotides) under Marmota monax (woodchuck). RNAcentral describes it as "tRNA.Ala". The stretch from base 6 to 66 matches the Rfam family "tRNA", at positions 6 to 65 of the family's 71-position model. From Rfam's summary of the family: Transfer RNA (tRNA) molecules are approximately 80 nucleotides in length. Their secondary structure includes four short double-helical elements and three loops (D, anti-codon, and T loops). Lineage: Eukaryota; Metazoa; Chordata; Mammalia; Rodentia; Sciuridae. The record is from RNAcentral.